UUUCCGUAGGUGAACCUGCGGAAGGAUCAUUAUUGAAUGAUACACUUCUGGCUUUAUGCUGUUGUGCUGGCCCUUUGGGCAAUGUGCACACGGCUCUGGUCACUUGUUUCUUCUGUUCCACCUGUGCACUGCCUGUAGACACGCUGUGUGUAUGAUAUUUGUUAACACACAACAAUGUUAGUUGGCAUGUUAUAUAUAAUAAUAAAAUAUACAACUUUCAACAACGGAUCUCUUGGCUCUC
This 241-nucleotide unclassified non-coding RNA is filed under the name plant metagenome. RNAcentral's name for it is "partial contains small subunit ribosomal RNA, internal transcribed spacer 1, and 5.8S ribosomal RNA". The record is from RNAcentral.